CUUUUGGGAUCUGCAUUACAUUAACGUCAUUUUUGGGUUCCUGACGUUAAUCAAAACCAACACCAUAAAGCGUCACUUAGCUAAUUUGUGUAUUAUUGUCAAUGUUACCAUUAAUUAUGCGUUUGUGAGGAAAAAGAGGAUUAAUGAGAUGUCACAGGUAAUUUACAAUGAUCAGGCUCCCCAGGACAUUAAGAAAACACUAGCUGGGUAAGAUUACCGUGCAAUCAUAAUAGUAUGCAAGAGGCAAAAGUCUUUGUUGAGGCACCACACUAAUAUUGUCCAUCAUCAUCCAAAUCUGUUUUCACUAGAGUAAUUCCUAACUUUUACAUCUCUUGUUCAAAUUAAAUAUUUGUCUUGUCCUAAAACAUUAGGCCAAAUGUAUUAAUUGUGAGACAUUUGUUGAUGUGUCUCUCCAAGUUCUGAGGAUAAGCUAUUGUUUCUCUUGAAAGGUAGGCAGAGUCACACAGGACUAAUUCUUUACCGUGCUCCGUGAACUUGGGUUCACAUUUAAUAUCCCUAUGACAACAGUUUAGGUAAUUUACGUGGUUGUCUUUAAAUCAGUCUGAUAAAAAGAUCUCUUAUAUCACUGUUUUCUCCAGCCUCGCCUGCACUCACAACCGUGUAAAUAAAGGGCUUUUGCUUUCUCUCAUCCCAUUUCUGGAAUUCACUCAGUAAAGAGAGACAGAAUAACCUAAUGUAAGUAUUGUAUCAGCACAACGCACAGCGGGGUAGAGGCUCUGAAGUACAGUUCUGUACUGUGGUCUAGAUGGCCAUCUGGAAACAGGAGUGCUGGGUCUCGGCUUCCCUCUAUUGCCCACUUGCUGUGCCAUAUGGUGAAUUGGGAUCUGCUCAGAGAACAAUCUGGAGCCCCCAAGGGCAAAUCAGAGAGUGGUUGGUUCAGUCUGUGAUUGGAGAAUCAAGCUUGAUACAAGUGCUCACUCAGAACCCGAGAACCUAGUGGCAGAGGUUCUGAGAGUCAAGAAAGGAGCUAGAGCUAGGGACAAGGAAGUACUUUGAAAGAAUCGGGAGACAAGAGCAUGAGAAUUAUUGAGAAAGAAUUAUUGGGAAAUAAAUCUGUGACAUUUAUUUAUUUAACAGAUAUUUGUUCAUCUCUCAUCACGCACUAGGUAUCAUGACAAGGAUAGGGACGCAAUGGGGAGCAAAACCAAACAUGAUCCCAUGCAGUUGAGAGCUCCGGGCCUCGGUAACUCUAUCAGCUUGGCUUCUGAAAUGAUCACCGUGCUGCAGGAUGGAAAAUGGAUUGGAGGAGAGUGAGAGUGAAUUAUGGAACGGUGUGUAGAAGGAGUCAAUUUAGGGAGAGCAUUUACUAUUUUAAUGUGAAUUUUCGUUAACUCAUAUUAGUUUUUCUUGGUCUUAUUUUUAUUUAUGUGAGGAAUUAUAUGAUAAAAUUUCAGAAUUAUAUAUUUACUUUCACACAGAUUUAUACAAUCCAGGUUUAAAUCUCAGCUCUGGGAAACCUUGAACAAAUUAUUUAACCUAUAAGUGUCAGUAUCUUUAUCUGUGAAAUGGAGAUAAUAAAACUUACCCAAUAUAGUCAUAAAAAUUAAAUGAGAUAAUGAAUGUAAAUUACUUAACACAGGGCUCACCACACAAUAAGGGUUUAAUAAGGUGGUGGUUUUAAGCCUUAAAUUUUUUUCAGGAACACCUGUGGAACUUCAAAAAAUACAGCUGCCUGAGCCAUACUCCAAACCUAUUCAAUCUGAAUACCUGGGUCUGAUCUCAUUGUGUACCCUAGAUGAAAAUCACUGCAAUAAAAAUUAAAUAUUUAUAAUUUAUUAUUAGCAAUUUUAUUAACAUUAAUAUCGCAGUGAAACAUCUAAAAAAUUUUAUCUGAUGCCAUAGUAUAGAGGAUAUGUGGGAUCACGAAUUUUAUCAGGUCCUUAUAUGUGUGACUAUAAUGUUUGGGGCCAUAUGAUUUUAAUUGUAGCAUAUAAAGAUCUAUGAAAUAAUGUUAUAUUGCAAUUACUGCUUAUUUUUGUGUGUCUAUGUGUGUGCAUGAUGGAUCUAUUUCCCUGGGGUGAGUGCAGAAGUUUGAGAUGGCUGGCGUUAUAGGAAAGCUAUUUUUAAGAAAAAUUGUCUAUGUACUAGGAUAAGGUCAAACCACAAGUGAGCUGAACUUCACCAUCUAUUAACAAACGAAAAUAAAACAUUUAUUACAUUGUCCAUUCUUGCUUUUUUAUAUUUACGGUAUAUUCCAAGGAGAUUUCCCUGUUGGGAUAAAAUUUCACAAACAGAGAGGGGAAAGGAGGGGGAAGUUUAAAUAAAAAUCUUUUAUUAUUGAUUUGGCAUUGUUGGGGCUAACCACAUAGAUUGUGAAAAUAAUAUAGUUUAUUUCUUUUUUU
RNAcentral lists this long non-coding RNA (2363 nucleotides) under Homo sapiens (human). RNAcentral describes it as "HSALNT0218560". Lineage: Eukaryota; Metazoa; Chordata; Mammalia; Primates; Hominidae. The record is from RNAcentral.